CCUACGGGAGGCAGCAGUGAGGAAUAUUGGUCAAUGGCCGCAGGGCUGAACCAGCCAAGUCGCGUGAGGGAUGACGGUCCUAUGGAUUGUAAACCUCUUUUGUCAGGGAGCAAAGGGCGCCACGUGUGGCGUUUUGCGGGUAACUGAAGAAACAGCAUCGGCUCACUCCGUGCCAGAAGCCGCGGUAAUAGGGAGGAUGCGAAUGUUAUCCGGAUUUAUUGGGUUUAAAGGGUGCGCAGGCGGAGUGUAAAGUCAGAGGUAAAAUUUCGGGGCUCAACCCCGGCGUGCCGUUGAAACUGGGGUUCAUGCGUGAGCGAGAAGUAUGCGGAAUGCGUGGUGUAGCGGUGAAAUGCAUAGAUAGCACGCAGAACUCCGAUUGCGAAGGCAGCAUACAGGCGCUCAACUGACGCUCAUGCACGAAAGCGUGGGUAUCGAACAGGAUUAGAUACACUUGUAGUC
This 459-nucleotide ribosomal RNA is filed under the name uncultured bacterium. RNAcentral describes it as "partial 16S ribosomal RNA". It matches the Rfam family "Bacterial small subunit ribosomal RNA", at positions 338 to 795 of the family's 1533-position model. The record is from RNAcentral.